This 434-nucleotide long non-coding RNA is filed under the name Capsella rubella. Its description in RNAcentral is "long non-coding RNA (CRUB_LNC004442)". Lineage: Eukaryota; Viridiplantae; Streptophyta; Magnoliopsida; Brassicales; Brassicaceae. The record is from RNAcentral.
UCUCCUAAAAUUACUCGUUGCAAUAUCUAUUUAAAUCUUAUUAUGUUUUUAUAAAUGACAUCAAAUGAGCAAUAAAUCUUUGUUUACAACCGAAAAAUCACAAUUGGGUUUUGAUCUUAGUUUCUUCAUCUUCUUUCUUUUACAUGCUUUUUGCUUACAUUUUUUUUCCUUCUUGAAAACUUCAAUUCUUAUUAUAUGCCAUCUAUCUGCCAUAAGUGAAAUAAAGAUCAUGAUUUAGUUAUGACUUGCAAUCCAUUGAAUCAUCAUAGAAAUUUUGCUCUAUAAAAAUUUUGAUUUAAAAAAACUAAAACAAUAAUUGUAUGAAAAUUUAUAGAAAGUUUUGGUUAGAAUCAGAAUAACCAAGUAUAUUUAACAUAAAUUAAGUGAUGGAGUACCUUUAUUUUACGUUUUCCAAGCUUUACAGAAAAACACAC